This 253-nucleotide ribosomal RNA is filed under the name uncultured bacterium. RNAcentral's name for it is "partial 16S ribosomal RNA". It matches the Rfam family "Bacterial small subunit ribosomal RNA", at positions 524 to 776 of the family's 1533-position model. The record is from RNAcentral.
UACGAAGGGUCCAAGCGUUGUUCGGAAUUACUGGGCGUAAAGCGCGCGUAGGCGGGCUUGUAAGUUGAUUGUGAAAGCCCUGGGCUCAACCUGGGAAUGGCAGUCAAAACUGCAAGUCUUGAAUGUCUGAGAGGAUGGCGGAAUUCCCGGUGUAGUAGUGAAAUACGUAGAUAUCGGGAAGAACACCUGAGGCGAAGGCGGCUAUCUGGCGGUACAUUGACGCUGAGGCGCGAAAGCGUGGGGAGCAAACAGG